GGGGCACCGAACUUAGACAACUCUACUAUAUUGUUCGCCAGAGUACUACAAGCGCUAGCUUAAAACCCAAAGGACUUGGCGGUAUCCCACACCCACCUAGAGGAGCCUGUUCUAUAACCGAUAAUCCCCGUUCAACCUUACCACUCCUUGCCAUUACCGUCUAUAUACCGCCGUCGUCAGCUCACCCUGUGAAGGACUAAAAGUAAGCAAAAAGAAUUAAACUCCAAAACGUCAGGUCGAGGUGUAGCAAAUGAAGUGGGAAGAAAUGGGCUACAUUUUUUUUAAAAAACAAACGAAUGAUAAACUGAAAAAUUACCUAAAGGUGGAUUUAGCAGUAAGAGGAGGUCAGAGUACUCCUCUGAAAUCGGCUCUGGGAUAAGCACACACCGCCAAAACACCCACUCAA
This 406-nucleotide ribosomal RNA is filed under the name Rhizoprionodon oligolinx (grey sharpnose shark). RNAcentral's name for it is "partial 12S ribosomal RNA". It matches the Rfam family "Bacterial small subunit ribosomal RNA", at positions 836 to 1409 of the family's 1533-position model. The record is from RNAcentral. Lineage: Eukaryota; Metazoa; Chordata; Chondrichthyes; Carcharhiniformes; Carcharhinidae.